This 396-nucleotide ribosomal RNA is filed under the name uncultured bacterium. Its description in RNAcentral is "bacterial SSU rRNA". It matches the Rfam family "Bacterial small subunit ribosomal RNA", at positions 28 to 450 of the family's 1533-position model. The record is from RNAcentral.
GAUGAACGCUGGCGGCGUGCCUAACACAUGCAAGUCGAACGGGUACUUCGGUACCAGUGGCAAACGGGUGCGUAACACGUAGGUAUCUGCCUGAAAGACGGGGACAACAGAUGGAAACGUCUGCUAAUACCCGAUGGCGUCGUGAGACGAAAGGAGCAAUCCGCUUUCAGAGGAGCCUGCGGCCUAUCAGGUAGUUGGUGGGGUAAAGGCCUACCAAGCCGACGACGGGUAGGGGGCGUGAGAGCGUGGCCCCCCACACGGGGACUGAGACACGGCCCCGACUCCUACGGGAGGCAGCAGUGAGGGAUAUUGGGCAAUGGGCGCAAGCCUGACCCAGCGACGCCGCGUGGAGGACGAAGGGCUUCGGCUCGUAAACUCCUUUUCCUGCGGACGAGA